CCUACGGUAGGCAGCAGUGAGGAAUAUUGGUCAAUGGGCGGAAGCCUGAACCAGCCAAGUAGCGUGCGGGAUGAAGGCCCUACGGGUCGUAAACCGCUUUUGCACGGGGAUAACACCCUCCACUUGUGGAGGUCUGCAGGUACCGUGCGAAUAAGGGCCGGCUAAUUCCGUGCCAGCAGCCGCGGUAAUACGGAAGGCCCGAGCGUUAUCCGGAUUCAUUGGGCUAAAAGGGAGCGUAGGCGGGCGUUCAAGUCAGCUGUAAAAUCGCGCGGCUCAACCGCGCCCCGCAGUUGAAACUGGACGCCUUGAGUUCACAACAGGCAGGCGGAAUUCGUGGUGUAGCGGUGAAAUGCAUAGAUAUCACGAGGAACCCCGAUUGCGAAGGCAGCCUGCCGGGGUGCGACUGACGCUGAGGCUCGAAGGUGCGGGUAUCAAACAGGAUUAGAUACCCCUGUAGUC
RNAcentral lists this ribosomal RNA (459 nucleotides) under uncultured bacterium. RNAcentral describes it as "partial 16S ribosomal RNA". It matches the Rfam family "Bacterial small subunit ribosomal RNA", at positions 338 to 795 of the family's 1533-position model. The record is from RNAcentral.